CAACUAAGGGGAGCCAGCUGCCUGUAGUGGGCAGGGCCUGGCCCUUAUAAAGCUCAGGGCUGAGGUCAAGCUAGCAGUCCCCUGUCAGCAGCUGGAGAGGCAGGAGCUCCCUUGGCUGAGAGAUGGGUAGAAGCCUGAUGGCCAGUACAGCUCAUGAGAGCUCUGAAGCCAUACAUUCUUGACUGAUUUCAAGAAGAUAACAUGAUAAAUGUGACUUCUGGAGGAAUGUGACAGAGAAGUAUGGAGUAGAACAUAUCAAGGGGAACAAAGGUUGAAGAUGCUGAACAGUCAAUUGAAUCACACCAACUGAAGUAAUCAUAGGGAUUCCGGCCCAAAAGCCAAACUGAACGUGGGAUAAUCCCAUGAUUCCACCCUAAGAGGGAGGUGACAGCUUGAAGCAUGAGGAGAGGUACACUUGAAGAGACCAAAAGGGCUCAGAGGUGCACUUUGUCCAGCGAUUGAGAGACACACUGGAAAAUUUUUCACCCACUAUGUGCCCUUUCCUGCCAGAGGCAGUCAAGCUAGUGGAUUUUUCAGUUUAAGUACCCAUAUGCCACAAAACAGUAUCAGUGCAUUCCCAUAGACAUAGUCUUUUGUGUGCUAUUUUUGAUUUGCGCUAUCAGUCAUACUUUCACAGUACCAGAGAGAGCGUUCAAGAGACCUGGAGAGGAAUAUAUGAAUCACAAUCUACUGUAUGCAGCCUGCAAAAGCCAGCCAGGACAAAGCUGAACAACAAGAUUAGUUAUUAUCCCUUCCUACUGCCCCAAACAGCACUGAUGGACAGCAAAGUGAAAGCCAUUAAACACUACUCACUGCUUCCUAACUUUAAAACAAUAUAAACAAAAAUAAAUAAGCUUGCAGGAAAUGGAAAGCAUGAAGUACAAGACAUCAGGUAGGGUAGGAAAUAUCUGCUAGGGAUAAACUGCGAGUAAAAGCCAAAGAUGACUAUAGAAAUUAUAACCCUUUGUGUCACUAACAGUAAAGUCCAAUUUUAUAAUUUGUUCUCAGUAAGUUUAAAGGCACCAAUUUAGAGAGGGAAGAACUGGACCCAUAAGUUCUACUAUUUUGAGCUAGCACGUGAAGGCUUAAUUGCUAAACACAGAACAUUUCAAACCAAAAGCAUGGAGCUAUCUAUGUAGGUGCCAAGAUGCAUUUGCUAUUUUCUACCACUUUAACUGUAAAUAGAAUGGAGCCAGAACUCCCUUAACAAUCCUGUAUUCCACUCUACUUCCAACUCCAGGAUUGCCUUUGUAACUAGAGUCUCCCUGCCUAUCAUCAACAACAUUUGUGUAUUAAUUCCAUUGUAUCCUGAAGAACUGGGGUAUAUGGGGGGGGGGAGGAGGGUGUUACUCCUAACUGGACCAGUAGAGGGGAAAAUAAAAAUUGUCAGUCAGUACUGGUGAAGAAGGAAAGGAGGAAAAUAAUCUUUAAAAAAAAAUUCCCAAAAAUUUUCAGACAGAUUUUCAGUCUUUGGUGUCUAGUUCCAGGCUUGAUGAGAAUAACUUAAUAGGAAGCCAUGAUGUUGUCAGCCUGUAGUCCCCAAUGACACCUCCCCUCUUGCUGCAGACAGUGUACUGAAAGUAAAUGAAUGUGAAUAGAGUAAACUAGCAAACCCUGUCAUAUCAGCGAAAGAAACAGCACAUUGAUCCAUUGACAUCCACUCUUCAUCAGUGCACUGUCUGCAGAAAUCCUCCCAGACACACAACUGGAGAGACAGUGGGGAUUAGAUACUGCAGUGAUAAGCACAGAAUAGCCAGAUUAGAUAAACCAUUGAUCAAUGGAAGAAGUGCUGCUUCUCUCCCAUACAAAGUCCUGAUAUCAGACUGAAUGGGGUCAUGGAAUUCUGUGGACUCCAGAAACCACUGGAGCUACUUCACCAUAAACUUCACAGUCAUUUUUCCCCAGCACAGUAUAUGCAGCACAGACAUAUAAACUGGAAGACUGGACAAAACACACCUUCACUACACACUAGCAACACAUUAGUUACUCUGUUUCUGCCCAGGGUCUUGGUGCAGUCAUGCAACGGAACUGGGUGAUCUCUCCCUAUGCAAGUUCAUUCUUGGUAAUGAACAUAUUUCAAACAUAGGGCCCUCUGUAUCAAGCCAUAAGAUAUAACAGCACUGGUUUUUCACUGCUUUAAAAUAUUAGGUCUGAUUCUUUUCUUACACUAGUAUAAGCCACAAGUAACCAUAUGUAAAUCAAUGCAGUUACAUGGCUGUGAAACCAGUUAGGUAAAAAGAAAAUCAAACCCAUUAGUUUUACCUGCAAUAAUUACCGUUAUAUUUAAACUGCAAUAGUUACUGACAGAAGAGACAUAAUAAAAAGGCCAGGCUGAGUCCUAUAUUUGUGCUUUUUCAAUACUUUCAGUAUUGAUUUAGUUUACAAGUUUAAAUAUAUAUUUUUCUAGCUGUUAGCACUGCCAACUUGGCAUGCAAUAUGAAGUGUAAAUCUACAUUCUUCCUGCCUCUCACAUCACUGCCAGUUCCAAAGCCUCUAUAGUCAGAACUGAGCUGACAACCUGGGAAAUGGUGCAUAAGGCAGAAGAACAAACCCCACCUCACUCCUUUAGAUUGGUACUUGCUCUACAAAGUGAAUACAGGCAAAGGUGGGUUUAUUCCUGAGCAAAUAGACUAGAUGUACAGGGAGCAGGAGUAGUCUUAUUUGAUGUGUGUACCAUAUUAAAUGCCACAGGGCUUCAUCAUUUCUCAAGUUUGCUAAGUUAGUGCUUGGCAAUUUCUGGGGGGAAGAGGACAAAUGUUCAACUGGCUAAAAAAAAUGCAACUUCAAUUUAACUAAAACUACUCCUGGAUUUGCAUCAGAUUUGCCAAACUGUUCCAUCUGAAACAAAUGAGGGAAAAUUAGACAAGUCUAAAUGUUUCAUUUCAAUAUUUUCAAAGUAACCACUUCAAAUUUUCAUUUAAAAAUGAAGUUUCAUUUGUAAAUUUACCUGCAUUUAAUUAAAAAAAAACCAACCCUCUCAGCCUCAGCCCCUGCCCUGAAAAGGAAAGGUUUUGUUCUGAGUUUAACUAAAUGCUUUGGUAGACUCAAAACAUUUUUUUUUUAUUUCACUAAGAAAAUCAAUAUAAUUUUGGAUGGCCAGCAAAUAGAAAAAAAUGAAUUAUUUGCACAGUUGUCCUGGAGCUGCAACCAUAAAACAAACCAAUAAAUUAAUACACCCAUAAUAACAAUGACAGGUAAGACAGAGUAGGCUUUAUUUUGAGAGAGGUACUUUAACCCCUCCCUGAAAAAAAUCUUUGAAAUUUUCAAAGCACCAAAGGAUUUAGCCAUACAACUCCCAUUAAUGUCAAUGAAAUCCACUUGGCUAAAGCCCCAAUCCCCUCCUCCCCCCCCAAAAAGGGAAUAACAUUUUCACAUGGUCACAACACUUGUGACCAUGGGUAGAUCCAAGGGGCAUGCAGUGGUUCAGCUGCAUCCUCCUUUAGAUUCCUGCUCCAACCAAAUUUUAAAACCAACUGCCCAGAAGGGAGAGCAGCAUUUCCAUUCAGGCAGCACUGGGGGAAUCAACUGACUUCAUGGCUCAGUCAUUAUAAUGUACCUGAUUUCUGCUGAUCUCUUUUCACUCCUCAGAUGUUAACAAGCAUGUGCCCUUUUUAAUGGUCUUAACGUUCCAUUAAUCAAGCUAUCAUUUCUUCUGUAAUUUUGUUGUCUGUUAGCCAUUCCUGGUAAUAUCUCACUUCUUUUUCCCAGGC
Molecule: long non-coding RNA, 3710 nt
Organism: Alligator mississippiensis (American alligator)
Lineage: Eukaryota; Metazoa; Chordata; Crocodylia; Alligatoridae
Exons: 3
Source: RefSeq, a predicted model, not a curated record